Molecule: ribosomal RNA, 492 nt
Filed under: uncultured bacterium
Lineage: Bacteria
Description: partial 16S ribosomal RNA
Rfam family: Bacterial small subunit ribosomal RNA
Source: RNAcentral
AGUGAACGCUGGCGGUAGGCCUAACACAUGCAAGUCGAACGGCAGCACAGUAAGAGCUUGCUCUUACGGGUGGCGAGUGGCGGACGGGUGAGGAAUACAUCGGAAUCUACUUUUUCGUGGGGGAUAACGUAGGGAAACUUACGCUAAUACCGCAUACGACCUACGGGUGAAAGCAGGGGAUCUUCGGACCUUGCGCGAUUGAAUGAGCCGAUGUCGGAUUAGCUAGUUGGCGGGGUAAAGGCCCACCAAGGCGACGAUCCGUAGCUGGUCUGAGAGGAGGAUCACCCACACUGGAACUGAGACACGGUCCAGACUCCUACGGGAGGCAGCAGUGGGGAAUAUUGGACAAUGGGCGCAAGCCUGAUCCAGCCAUACCGCGUGGGUGAAGAAGGCCUUCGGGUUGUAAAGCCCUUUUGUUGGGAAAGAAGAGCAGCAGGUUAAUACCCCGCUGUUCUGACGGUACCCAAAGAAUAAGCACCGGCUAACUUCGUG